Non-coding RNA from Benincasa hispida (wax gourd), 751 nucleotides. NCBI's taxonomy places the organism in Eukaryota, Viridiplantae, Streptophyta, Magnoliopsida, Cucurbitales, Cucurbitaceae. The record is from RefSeq and is a predicted model, not a curated record.
UCUCACACUUGAAGAGACCCUACCUCUUGAGUUGUUUACCCAUAUAUAUAUCUCAACACUCUCAAGUUCCUUCUGAGUUGGAAUUUCUUCUUGUUCUUCUUCCCCUCUGCUCGUCUUUGCCGCUUCAUUUCUCUGCUUCUGUAAAUCUUGUUUUUCUUCUCUCAAAGUCUCACCGUAACGCAUUUAUCCCUCUGCAUACUAUUUUUCUAUCUCAUAUUUGUCAAUGAAGUCAGUUUUGCAAUUGGGGUUUAGGAGUUUCCUUCAUCCCUCCAGUGAAUCAGAGUAGGUUGAGAGUUGCAACAUUGAUACCUAAUAUGCAAAGGAAUGUAAUGGUGUCGAAUCAAUCCUCUAUAACUUUAUCCACACAGAAUUCAGAGCCUGGCGGGACAAGGAGAGAUAUAAGUCUGGUAACAAAUUUCGGAAGAGCCUGUUGUGAGAUGGUUUUUGUUUGAGUAUAUUUCAAUUACCUAUUAUGCUUCUCUUCUUUAUUCGGAUUUAGGGCUUUUACUCAACUUUUACAUAUAGGAAAAUGACUGUAAAGUGGACAUUCAAAGUUUUAAGGAUGACCCGUCGAGAAUUGAGGCUAUGACGGUCCAAGAACUGAGAAUGACAUUGAGUUUGGAUAUUGGCUUGGAGUUUAUGUGCUGCAGCUGCUGGCUGCUGUGUCUCGGCACAAGUGCAUUCCAGUUCCAUAUGUAGUUUGUAAUAGUCUAAUAGAGCUCGAGCUUACUUUAUCAUUUAUGUUCACAUU